RNAcentral lists this non-coding RNA (30 nucleotides) under Rattus norvegicus (Norway rat). Lineage: Eukaryota; Metazoa; Chordata; Mammalia; Rodentia; Muridae. The record is from RNAcentral.
UCAUACUUAAAUAUGAUUUAAUGAACUCCA